UUAGUCAAUCAAAACUCCGCGAAUGCACUAGAUCUCAUCAGAAUUCUGGAGUUAAGCGUGAUUGACCGAACGUAUAUGGGUGACCUUUUGGAAAGUUCUCGUGUUACACCUAU
Brassica napus (rape) is the source of this 113-nucleotide non-coding RNA. Lineage: Eukaryota; Viridiplantae; Streptophyta; Magnoliopsida; Brassicales; Brassicaceae. The record is from Rfam.